Molecule: ribosomal RNA, 496 nt
Filed under: uncultured bacterium
Lineage: Bacteria
Description: partial 16S ribosomal RNA
Rfam family: Bacterial small subunit ribosomal RNA
Source: RNAcentral
GAUGAACGCUAGCGGCAGGCCUAAUACAUGCAAGUCGAGGGGUAGAGCUAGCUUGCUAGCUUGAGACCGGCGCACGGGUGCGUAACGCGUAUGCAACCUACCCUUUUCUGGGGGAUAGCCCGGAGAAAUCCGGAUUAAUACCGCAUAAGACCACGAUACGGCAUCGUGAUGUGGUCAAACAUUUAUGGGAGAAGGAUGGGCAUGCGUGCCAUUAGCUAGUUGGCGGGGUAACGGCCCACCAAGGCGACGAUGGGUAGGGGAUCUGAGAGGAUGGCCCCCCAAACUGGUAGAGAGACACGGAACAGACUCCUACGCGAGGCAGCAGUAAGGAAUAUGGGUCAAGGGGGGCAACCCUGAACCAGCCAUGCCGUGUGCAGGACGACGGCCCUCCGGGUUGUAAACUGCUUUUGUACGGGAAUAAACCCCGCUACGUGUAGCGGGCUGAAUGUACCGUAAAAAUAAGGAUCGGCUAACUCCGUGCUAGCAGCAGCCGCCG